RNA transcript from Manduca sexta (tobacco hornworm), 1283 nucleotides. RefSeq lists it as uncharacterized. The record is from RefSeq and is a predicted model, not a curated record. Lineage: Eukaryota; Metazoa; Arthropoda; Insecta; Lepidoptera; Sphingidae. The transcript has 2 exons.
UAGCACUAAAUUGAUUUUCUGUCUCUAUCAUUCUUACAUAAAAUAAUAUCUAGACGUCUCAAGUCACUUGGACUAAAAUCGCUGUUUUCAUAAAGUGGAACGCAGGGACAGCUGACCGAUCGUGAAUUAAUUAAAUCACCAAGUCAACUCACAAUGAACAACAGUGCGUUCAUGGACAGACUGCGCUCGUUUCUCGGGAUACGACAGGAGCCUCCUGCAAACGAUUUUCGCAAUCCGAUUUGGGGCUCUGACGACGAAGACGACGGCGAUGAACUCUACACGAGAAACGAGAUGGAAUCCUUCGAGGAGUCUAUGGAUAUGCACCGAGAAUUCACUAAACAGAUGCACGAUAUGCUUAAAUCUUUCGGAAGUAUGUUCGGGGACAUGAGGUUGUUUUUCCAAGACGACCAGUUCGAGAACUUUCCAGGCCUCACGGACGGGGUCGCAGAAGGUAGUGGCAUGAACAGUAGUAGCCUGCGGGACUACUAUUUAAAGCCAGGUUACCUUGGCCACAAAGUUGAGCAUCCUAAAGAAGACAUCGAUUUGGACGGCAAAAUCUCUUCACAUGAAAUAUCAGGUUUGUUGAAACAGAAAGAAAGUGACCAGAAUGCGGGACCUGCCGUGCCUUUCGAUGGAAGCAUGGUGCCUGGAAGGUCUUUCUGUCAGACAAUUAUCACAACCAGUGUUACAAAACCAGAUGGAACAGUGGAAACCCCGAAGGGAUCAUUAAGAAUGGAAAUGAAGUAAUUGAAGAGACCACAACAUCAGCCCCUGAUAGCAGAGGGCCAGGACCAUACAACCAAAGCAUGGAUACAUUUAAUAACGCAGGAUUCAUCUACAACCAAGUCAUGUCGGAGCUUUCUACAUUAUUUAAAAAUUUCUAUUAAACUUGUAUCAUUUAGUCAUACCAGUUCUGAAUGUUUAGUCUUUUAAAAUUCUACAUAUAGUAUCUUUCCAAACAAACAAUGCUUUUGUUUAUAUAAAUGUGAUAAAUGGGAAUAAAAAUGGAAUAUUGCCAAACUUAUGCUUAGCUUUGUAUUUUAUUUUACAAAUACUUUAAAAUGUAUUUGAAAGUCUCAAAUUGUAAUUGUUAGAUUAUAUUGUGAUAUAAUAGAUUUAAUAUUUCCAUGCUUCACAUGAAAUGAUUUCACAGUUACAAUUGAACUUUAAUGGCUGGUUUAAAAUAUGCUAUCUGAAAUUUUAUGUAUUAUGUAUUAAUUAUUUGCUAAAUAUUUAUUGAGCCAUUAAAGCAUUACUACUUAAUAAAUGUUCAGACCACAGGA